This is a long non-coding RNA of Callithrix jacchus (white-tufted-ear marmoset), 4741 nucleotides long. The record is from Ensembl. Lineage: Eukaryota; Metazoa; Chordata; Mammalia; Primates; Cebidae.
CUCACCCGGCCAGAGCUCCACCACUGCACCCGGCCCCAGCCCCAGCCCCAGCUACACUAUAGGAGAACCCGUAAGUCUCAGAGCUGGGACUUGAACCAGACAGAUCGGCUUGAGUGUCUGUGAUCUUAGUUUUUGGGCUCAAUUAUUCAGCAGAGAAGGAAAGAAAAAAGGCAAAUAUGUUUCUCCUUGACUUUUUGAACAUAUGGAACACAGUUAUAAUAACUGCUUUAAUGUCCUUGUCUGCUAAUUCUGGCUUCUGUGUCAGUUCUAUGUCAGUUUUGAUUGAUGUAUUCAUCUCCUUACUAUGGGUCAUAUUUUUCUUCUUUGCAUGACUGAUUAUAUUUUAUUGGAUGUCAGACAACAUGAAUUUUACUUCACUGGGUGCUGGAUAUUUUUGUGUUCCUAUAAAUAAUUGUGUGCUUUGUUCUGCGAUGCAGGAGCAGCCGCCGCUCCCGCUCAAACUCCUUCAUUCUCAUCACAUAGUCUCGGUGCUCGCAGUCCUCCCACUCGUGCCGCUCGUGCUUACAGGCCAGGAUAUUGGGGAAGUUGUCGCGCUUGCAGUUGAGCAGCCGGAUGAGGUAGUGGGCACAGUAGUCCCGCAGCUGGAGCCUGGCUGCGCGUCCAUCAUCUCCUGCUGUGUGGCCACCAUCUCGCGCUCCUUGCGCUCUGGUAAGCCAUAGUCGGGAGGGAAGGUUGGAAAAUUCAGGGGGUCGGAUUCCUUCGAGGCAUCGCCCACGUAGCGCCGGACCAGGUGCGCCCCCAUGGCUGCAGUCGCCGCAGGUUCCUGCAGCAUCCGAGGGUCACCUCGGCUUUUAUUUGCAUUUAUGUUAUACCAAUUUAUUCCCGAGCCAUAACUUUCUGUUUCUUCAGUUUCUUUCUGCAUAUGUUUUUCUUCUGUGCAACCUCCUCUUCCAGGUUAGGAACAGUUUUGUUUUUUUUUUUUUCAGGAAGGGUCAUCUUAGCGUGUCAGGAGGAGUGCGUGCGUGGGUUCAUCUGACCAUGAGCUCUGAGUUUCAUGGGACGUCUUGGGGGCUUUGUUCGCCUUCAUGUGCCCAAUGACUACAGCAUCUACAUCCAAACUCUUAAGGUCAGUGUUACUCUCUUCAUUUUGGGGCAGCAAUAAUUCAGCACAAUUUUUCGGCCACCAACCCUGUAUUAUCCCCACUGUCUGGCCUGGGCUCUGCUGCCGACUCCACUAUGGUAAGGCAGCAUGGCACACGUUGCUUCUAUAUUGUGACAUCUUUCAGAUACUGGGUGGCUUUGGGGAUAUGCAAAGCCUUGGUGGCCUUGGCAGUUUCACAGGUAUUCCUGAAGUGAACACAGAGAUUUGAACUUUGUGAUUUGUGUAAUCUUGUGGGUGUUGUGGGUCAAGUGAAUCAUGCACCAUUUUCAGAGUUUAACUUAGGCCACUUACGGGAAAAGCAGGGGGUUACUGGGCCCUGUCAUUUUGAAAGAUCAGCCUAGAGCCUGCUUUUCCAACCCACAAACAUCUCUGUAAGCACCUAAUUCCUUGGAUUAAAUUCCUUUUCUGUUUAAAACACCCAGAGCAGUUUCUAAUCUGUGAUUGAAGACUGAUGCACAGGUCAUUGCAGAAACUGAGCCCUUAUGAUCUCGCUUUUGAAAAAAUGCACAAAACGUAAUUUUGUGCUAACGAACCAUAAGAAGUGUUAAGCUCUUGUGUAUUUUUUGUCUCUCUCCUUUUACCCGCAAAGGCAUCUGUCAGUCUGUAUAUGGAAUCGUGUAAUAUGCUUGAUCUAAGGAUUUUAAGAUACCACAAAGCAGAUACCCAGAAAGUCAGAAGAAGAUGAAAGGGACCUUUCACCAUGUGUCAGGAAAAAAAUUCCAGCAAGACAUUUCACAUAUAAACAAACAGACAAACAAGAAUGCGCAAUGGCCUGGAGUGGCCAUGAAGGCUUGCUGGAGGCAGCACUAGGCAGGGGUGGAGAGCGCGGACACUGGUCAAUAGCUGCUGUUUGGGUUCAAACCCUGGCUCUAUGUCCUGGGAAAUUGGUUAACUGCAUCUAUAAGUUGGCAGUUGAUAAUAGUCUGUAUGUCAUCGGGAGAGGUAAUCCAUAUAUGUAAAGACAGGCUCUUCACUGUCACCCAGGCUAGAAUGCAGCAUUGCAAUCACAACUCACUGCAGCCUUGACUUCCUGAGCUCAGGUCAUUCUCCCACCUCAGCCUCCUGAGUACAAGAGACCACAGUCAUGUGCCAUCACACCUGGCUAAUUUUCCGUUUUUUGUUUGUUUUGUUUUUGUUUCUUUUGAUACAGUGUCUCAGUCUGUUGUGCGGGCUGGAGUGCAGUGGUGUGAUCUUGGUUCACCGCAACCUCCGCCUUCUGGGUUCAAGCAAUUCUCCUGUCUCAGCCUCCUGAGUAGCUGAGAUUAUAGGCAUACACCACCAUGUCCAGCUAAUUUUUGUAUUUUUGGUAGAGUCAGGGUUUCACCAUGUUGGCUAAGCUGUUCUCAAACUCCUGACCUCAGGUGAUCUGCCCACCUUGGCCUCCCAAACAGCUAGGAUUAUAGGGGUGAGCCACCACACACAGCAGUAAUGCUUUUAAAAGGUAUAUUAAAUCAAAUAAAAAUGGAGGUAGAACUUCAGUUGGAUAGAAUGCAUAUUAUCAAAUGAGUGAAGAGAUUUUUGAGGUAGGUAAAAGAAUAGUAAGGCUGGAGCACAGGAAGAAAUGUGGCUCGAGUUCUGUGCAAGCUGGUAUCGAGAGAUGGUGACAUCAAAUAUCUGCACAGUAAGGGAAGGACAGGGUGUAGGGUCUUGAACAGCUUCCUAAAUAGGCAAGGCUAUAACCUGCAAAAAAUUGAGAUGUCACUGGGCAUUGUGGCACAUGCCUGUAAUGUCAGCACUUUGGGAGGCCGUGGCAGGCAGAUCACCUGAGGUCAGGAGUUCAAGACCAGCCUCGCCAACAUGGCGAAACCCUGUCUCUACACGGGUGGCUGUCAUGAGUAUUGUUACUUCUGUGCCAGGAAAAUGCUAGAUGCCUGGAUAAGUGUGGGCAACAGGCUUUCCCCUGAUAAACUGCCCCCUGAAUGUGCCAUGGAACCUCCAGCCUGGGGCUGGGAUGGCCACUGCUAGGCCUUGCCCUGAGAUACCACAGUAUACGUGUGCCUAACCCAUGCCCAGGACCCCACUCCAGGAGGUGCAGAAGGUGGCAGUAGCCACAGGGGAUGAGGAGGGAAGACCUGUGGUGCCAGGGGGUAGGAGCAGUGGGCUGAGAGCCUGUCCCAGAGGUGCAGGGAUGGUAUGUCAGCUGAAGCUCCAAGCACCCAGCACAGGCUCCAUUGUCCCAGAGGACUUCACUGACAAAACACACAUUCAAAGAUCACGUUAUCGAGCAUUUCAGAAUGCCUGUCAAAGGGCAUUAAACAUCAGGCAUGGGGACUUUCUGAGCACAGGGUGUGACUCAGCAACCAUACAGUAUGGCUGAACUGUUCCACAGCUGUUGCUGUGUUCUGAAUAUUUGUGUUCCCCUAGAAUCCGUAUGUUGAAGCCCUAAUUCUCCAUGUGAUUGUGUUUGGAGAUAGGGAUUUUAGGAGGUAAUUAAGCUGAAAUAAGGUUAUAAGGUCUAAUCCAAUAAGACUUGUGUCCCUAUAGAAGAGACUUGUGUCCCUAUAAGAAGAGAGAGAGAGACCAGUCUCUCUCUGGGAUUACAGGUGGCUUACAUCUGUAAUCACAGCAUUUUGGGAGGCUGAGGCAGGUGGAUCACUUGAGGUCAGGAGUUCAAGACCAGCAGGGCCAACAUGGUGAAACACUGUCUCUACUAAAAAUACAAAAGUUAGCUGGGCCUGGUGGCACAUGCCUGUAAUCCCAGCUACUCGGGAGGCUGAGGCAGAAGAUAAUUCCUUGAACCCAGGAGGCGGAAGUUGCAAGGAGCCAAGAUGGUGCCACUGCACUCCAGCUUGGAUGACAAAGCGAGACUCCAUCCCCCUCAAAAAAAGAGAGAGAGAGAGAGACAGCAAACUACACCUUCUCAGUGAGCAUGCAUCGAGGAGAGGCCACGUGAGCACACACAAGAAGGCAGUCGUCUGCAAGCCAGGAAGAGAGCCCUCACCAGAACAUGCAGGUGCCCUGAUCUCAGACUUCCAGCCUCCAGAACUGUGAGAAAAUGUCUGUUGUUUAAGCCACUCAGUCUAUGACAUUUUGUUCUGGCAGCCUGAGCCAUCUAAUGCCCCUGUGGAGCCAGACUGGGGAGCAGGAAGAUCAUGAAUUCCUUAAUGAACCUGUUGAGUUAGGGGAUCUAAGUGAUACUCAACUGGCUAUUCCUCACAUACAAACUAGUAGAUCCAGUGGCCAAGAGGGAAGCUAGAAAUACCAGUUUGGGAGUCAUUAAUAUACAAAUAGUAAUUAGAUCCGUGGGAGUGGAUGAGGUCACCCAAGCAUGGUGUUUAAAGUGAGAAGAGAGUGUAGUUAGAAACUAAGGUGGGGUGCCAACAUUUAGGAGGUGGCCAGAGGCUGAAAGACAAAGAGUAGGAAAGAUCAAAAAGAAGGGAGGAAAUCCAAGAGUCAAGUAUGGUAUUCUGGAAACCAAAGAAAGGUAGAAAUUAGUCAGCUUGUUAAAUGCUGUUAACAAAUCAAGCAAGAGAAAGGUUGGAGAAUGCCUGGUGGAUCUGGCCAUGAGGAGGUCUCGGGAAGGUAAUCUGGUUUGACAAGUGGAGCUAGAAGCUGAACUGGGAUGAGGUGAGGAAUGCAAGGGUGAGAGGCAGCAUGGGGAAGCCCUAUGUCAGUGGG